UUUACCAAAAACAUGGCUUCGUGUUAGCUUUUAAAUACGAAGUCGGACCUGCCCAGUGAGUUUUAAACGGCCGCGGUACUCUGACCGUGCAAAGGUAGCAUAAUCAUUUGCCUUAUAAUUGAAGGCUGGAAUGAAUGGUUUGACAAGAAUACAACUGUCUCUUUUUGAUUCUAUAGAAUUUUAUUUUUAAGUGAAAAAGCUUAAGUUGUACUAAAAGACAAGAAGACCCUAUCGAGCUUUAAAAGAGUUAAUAGAGUUUAUAUACACAAAUAUUAAUAAAAAGAAAGCUAUUGAAUAUUUUGGUUGGGGCAACUAAGGAGUAGAUAAAGCCUCCUUUAAAUUAUAAUUCAAACCUGAAUUGAUCCAAUUAUUUUGAUCAGAGGAAUUAGUUACCGUAGGGAUAACAGCAUUAUCUUUUUUGAGAGCCCAUAUCGAAAAAAAGGUUUGUGACCUCGAUGUUGGACCAGAAUGUCCUAAAGAUGCAGAAGUCUUUAAAGGUUGGUCUGUUCGACCAUUAAAAUUCUACGUGAUCUGAGUUCAGACC
Molecule: ribosomal RNA, 544 nt
Filed under: Conus imperialis
Lineage: Eukaryota; Metazoa; Mollusca; Gastropoda; Neogastropoda; Conidae
Description: partial 16S ribosomal RNA
Rfam family: Bacterial large subunit ribosomal RNA
Source: RNAcentral